Long non-coding RNA from Onychomys torridus (southern grasshopper mouse), 4626 nucleotides. RefSeq lists it as uncharacterized. The transcript has 9 exons. NCBI's taxonomy places the organism in Eukaryota, Metazoa, Chordata, Mammalia, Rodentia, Cricetidae. The record is from RefSeq and is a predicted model, not a curated record.
UUAAGGUAAUUUAAGUAAGUUCUGUAUCCAAAGUUGAGCCCUUAAACUCUGUUCUUUGGUGAGUAUAUGAAUUUUAGCAUGCAGUGUUUAGUGUGAUCUGAUGUUUUAGGAGGAUUUGAGAGGAGAAUCCUAAGGCCUUUGGUUUCUUGCCAUUAGGCGCAUCCCUUCUUCACAGCGCAGUUUCUUUUCAAGAGGCUGUUGCUGCUGCUUUUCCCUCCCACUCCUUCAGUGCGACAGCCUCAGAGCUGAUGGAGACACAGAGAGCACGCAACUGGAAAAAAAUUCAGAUGUGGAAUUCGUGGAUCAAAUGGUCACCAAUUGUUUCAGCACUAUACAUUGAAUAACACAACCUUGUUCCACUGAUGAGAACUGUCAACAGCUGAUCUCUCAUUAGACAGGGUGUAGCUUUCCACAGACAGGAAAACACCACUAUGGUCCAUUUCUUUGUACUGCAAGUGGAAGGGUCAAGACAUGAAACACGGAGGCUUUUACUAGGAGCACAGCUUUUCUCCCACCCAGUGACUUCGAACCACAGCCACUGGCCUUUUCUGAUUUUGGAAGGAAAAGGAAGAUGUUAAAGGAAAAUGCCUGGAACCAGACUUCUGCCUGCACUGUAUAACCAACUCAUCCUAAUGCCCAUACUGACCAAAUGAGAGACACAUAUUUACCCUCACAGAAUGCAGACACCUCUCACAUAGCACACAGAUGACCUACAGCAGAAUGUUCCACUACCCUUGAGGCUCAUUAAUAUAUAUCAUAGCAAAAAGAUUUGCCCCUUAUUACAUCCCUUCCAUGUCACUGGGCUCGUUUAGAUAAACACAGGUUCUCUCCAACUCAGAGACCAAGCUAAAGGACAUGUAUCAGCUCCACAUGAUGAGAUUUGCCUCACUGUGGAGACAGUGCCUAUAACAGAGAAAAUAUCAACAUUGUAGCUCAUCUUCACAGCACACAGAUCCUGUCAAGAACACACAGAGUAUACAGACUUUAUUUAUCUGACACAGAUUUCUCCCCAAAGCACAUAGAUUCUCCUCAGAAAAUUUAAGUACUCCCCACAGAAAAGCCUCUCCCCACAGCAAAUCGUCCCAUGUGUGCUCCACCAAUUGAACUCCUGGCUGAUGAAGUUCAUGUGAAACAAACCUCCAUGACAUCACUUUAACCUUUGCAAAACCAAGCAGCCUUGCCCACAACACACAGACUCUUGUCACAUCAUGGAAACCUUCACCACAGAACACAGACUGUCCACAGCACAGCUUCACCCCAUAGUGUACAUAGUUUCUCCUUGAACACAGACAUACAACGCAGCUCAAAUCCCUUGCUUUGGCACAAAAGCUCACCCAAAAGACAAACUCUCCUUCUGACAACUAAAUGAAUAAGAGUAAAUUUAUGGUACAGAGACAUUCCCAAUAGCUCUGAGCAUGCUUACUCCUCCACCACAUAGCAAUGCAGAAGUAUAACCCGAAACACAUAGAUCAUGCCAUGUUAAAUAGGAUUUUAAUUUAAUAAACACAGUUUUACUACAGUGUACCAAUUCAUCUCAUGAUAAACAUACAUUGCAAACCUGCAUUGCAAACACCUGCCUCAGAGGCACUCGUUUGCCACACAUUCCAGAUUUGCAGAAUUACUCUCGAAGGUACUUAAGCCCCUCCCCACAGUACCCACACUCAACCCACAAUCCAGGUGUAAACUAUAACAUGUGAGCACACAUCUCAGAAGACCACACUCCAUUGCCACAAUGCUCAGAAUUCUCUAAGAGCAGUGUAUUUUCUAUACAUUGCAUCUCACAAAUCAACACUUCUUACAGUGGUUUUUCAGUUUAGACACAUGCCCCCAAACACAUGAAGCCAGUGUUUAAAUGACUCUCAGAUUUACCACAAAGCACCCAGAUGUUUCACUGUUUCCUACAAAACUAGAUGUGCCUACCAUAUGUAUAGAACUCUAAUAGAAUGCACAGAAUCUACUUUUAGUAUACAUACUUGCCUCAUAACUUAUAUAAAUACUUUGAAACAGUGACCUCACCCUAAAUGUACAGAUAAACCAUUCAGGUCACAGACUUGCCCUAUAAUAUACUCAAUCAUAAUUCAUAUGUUUUAAAACUUAUAGACAUACACGUGAAUGUGUAGAGUUGUUUUACAUUGUGCAGUUACACACAAUGCAAGUAAACACCUAUUAUGUAGACAUAUAUGCAUAUGUUAUAUAUAUACGUAUUAUAAUACAUAACAUACAUACUUUACCAUAUCAAUGAGCUACAAUUCUGGCCUACAGCAGAGAUACAGCUUGAUAUCCAUUAAGAGCAAGGCCUCUGGACCCAGGCUUCCUGGGCUUGCCUCCAGAUUCCAUCCUUUCCUAAUUGUAUCACCACAGGACUCGGGAAGAUGGAGAAAGGGUUUCAUCAAUUGGGUACAUUUGCCACCUAGUGACUAAACUGAAUGGUGGAAUUUGUGAUUCUUACCUCAAACUGGUAGCCUGACCUUGGCUCCUGAGUUCUGUGGUCCCUUUACAAUUGGGAGAAAGAAUGUGGACCAUCCACCCAGUCCUUUAAACAGCACCACACAUCAGUAGUUGACACUUGGGAUUCAUACCCUCCUCUGGUGGCUCUGAUGAUAUGCUUGGUGAUUCACAUGCUGGAGGAAGAAAGUAGAGAAGACCAAGAACACUGCAGCAGACUCCGAUUUUCUCUGUUCUUUCCUUACCAUUAUUGUCAUGAGCAGCAUUUUCAUAGGUGCAUUGUAAUCCUCACCAGGAGAGCAGAGAAAAAUAGAAUGUUCAUUGCAAAGUAAUCACAACCUGUAAUGUAAAGUUUGUAAAUAUCACUGAGAUACACUUUGGAGUUUUAUUUCUUUUAACAAACCAGUUUGCCUUGGACUUUUACACUGCUCUUUUAUGUCUCUUACCAUCUACCACAAAGGUCUUAAAAUCCUCUGACUUGCAUAGUGUGAGCGUUUCUGGAAUACUUUCUAGAACCUAGCAAAGUAGGAGGGGCCCGCUAGCUGUGUGUUGUCCUCCUUACUUUAAAUUCUAGUUAUCUCUAACUUGGUAUCUUGCCAGAGGGAUUAGUUUGGCAUAAGUUCAUUUGUUGUGUGUCAGUUUGCAAGAUAAGUAUUGGCUGAUCCUGAGAGGCAGUGUGUUUAUAAUGAAUUCCUAGAUUUGUAUUGGUUCCUAAUCAAGAAGGAAGAGAUAGUGUUGUUCAUAGUAUAGUUCAUUUCCAUAGUCCCUUCCUGAUCUCAGUUUUGCCCCACCCCUAGUGUUUUGAGACACUGAGCAUCCUCCAGAAAAGGAUGCUGGUACUUCCUGUUCCCAGAGGUACUUCAGAAUUCAUUUCUAGUUUGAGUGUCUAAUUCACCUUCAUAAUCUCAUUAUUUGACUAAAGUGAUGUUAAAGUGAAUUUUGAAUGUUUGAAAUUUCCUAUGCAGAUUUAACAAAGGAAAAAAUCACAAUGCUAGAGGUAAGACUCUCAGAUAUUAUUUUGUCAUAGGCAUAUGGUGAGCCUGCCUGGGCUUGUAGCUGCUUACACACAUUCUCACCUGCCGUCUAUUUUAAACUCAGUUGGACAAUUUUUCUGGGAACAGACAGGAAGUCUGACUAGCAUUGUUUGAUUUUCUGCUCUAACUGCUACUGUGCCAACCUAGCAUAAGCACUCCAUUCUGAUUAUACAUGAUAAUGAUGUGAAAAUAUCUGAAUAGAGGAAGGAAGAAGAAUAAAUCUUGGCAUGAAGUUGCCAAAAAGCGAACUUAAUAUAGCCUAAAAUGCACAAAACUACCUGGAAUGCAAGAGAUAUGUUCAGUAAUGAACUAAAUGCUGCUUUUGAGCCACAGUGUUAAUUAAAGGUCUUGCUCACACAGUUGGGAAUGAGAUGGCCCAUGUUCUCAACAAGCUCAGAAGAAGCGAAUGUGGGUUGAAAGCCCACAGGUGUUCUUAGCAUUGACUGUAUUUUGGAGUUGGGGAGGGGAGCUCUGAAAAUUAGGAUUUCUAGAAUAUCUUCCUGGCAGUAGGGCCAGCACCUAUAUAUGUGGAAAACAACUCGUGGUUCUGUCUACAGCUCUAGAUGCAAACUGCUGCUUUGAGGUGAAAUGAAAUUGAGAUAGGAAAAUGGAAGAGAAAUAGCAGUGGGUCCAGGGAAUAAGGCAAACAUGAUCAAUUCAGUAUUUGUUCUGCUACUAGUUCAAUGGGUAGUCUAACUCAAGUCACUCCAUGCUUUUCAUAGCUUCCAAAUGAAAGUAUACUAUAUUGGUCUUCAAGGUUCUUUUAAGUCUGUCAUCGUCACAUUUAGAGAAAAUUGCAUCAACCUUAUUGGUUGACUUUGUGAGCAUCUUGGCCUUUACACAGAGACCAGGGUAAAUACUAGUAUUAAACUGUAUUCAUAUCAUUUGCAAAUUGUUGUUGUUUGGACUGUGGAUGUAGUUCAGUGAUAGUGUCUCUUCUUGGUAAGUAAGAGGCCCGGGUUCACUCCCCAGCACUGUAAAAAUGUGCUUGUGAGUCAAGAUUUAUUUAUUUUAGACUCCCAGAAAAUAAAGUUAGGUAUAGGUGAUAUAGAAUAAAAAGCAAGCAAAGUCAAUUUUUUAAUGAGAACACACCUUCCAUGAGGAAUGUGUGUGUGUGUGUGUGUGUGUGUGUGUGUGUGUGUGUGUG